This is a non-coding RNA of Podarcis lilfordi (Lilford's wall lizard), 75 nucleotides long. Lineage: Eukaryota; Metazoa; Chordata; Lepidosauria; Squamata; Lacertidae. The record is from the annotation of a GenBank genome assembly.
GGAGAAGGGCUGUAGCUCAGUGGUAGAGCAUCUGGCUUUGCACCCAGAAGGCCCCAUGUUCAAUCCCCAUCUCCA